CGGCGGACGGGUGAGUAAUGCCUAGGAAUCUGCCUGGUAGUGGGGGACAACGUUUCGAAAGGAACGCUAAUACCGCAUACGUCCUACGGGAGAAAGCAGGGGACCUUCGGGCCUUGCGCUAUCAGAUGAGCCUAGGUCGGAUUAGCUAGUUGGUGAGGUAAUGGCUCACCAAGGCGACGAUCCGUAACUGGUCUGAGAGGAUGAUCAGUCGCACUGGAACUGAGACACGGUCCAGACUCCUACGGGAGGCAGCAGCG
Molecule: ribosomal RNA, 257 nt
Filed under: uncultured Pseudomonas sp.
Lineage: Bacteria; Pseudomonadati; Pseudomonadota; Gammaproteobacteria; Pseudomonadales; Pseudomonadaceae
Description: partial 16S ribosomal RNA
Rfam family: Bacterial small subunit ribosomal RNA
Source: RNAcentral